Molecule: small RNA, 162 nt
Organism: Hafnia alvei FB1
Lineage: Bacteria; Pseudomonadati; Pseudomonadota; Gammaproteobacteria; Enterobacterales; Hafniaceae
Rfam family: Glm Y RNA activator of glmS mRNA
About the family: This family consists of a number of bacterial RNA genes of around 167 bases in length. The function of this RNA is unknown.
Source: Rfam
AGUUGCUCAUUCACUCUUUUAUGUCAGCGACCGCAAUAGCGAGUCAGGCUACAUAAGCCAUCGAAUGACGCCAAAGUAAGGUGCCUACCGUCCAAUUAUCGAUAACAGUCGCUUAUGCGCUUUAUCAAACUCGGGGCGACACGUUGAGUGAGGCACCACCUA